UCACCUGAAAUGAACACUUCUUCCAAAGCUUUAUCUGUUUCCACUACUUCCAGAAAUCUGUGGGGAUGUUAAGUGUUAGGGUUGCUUCAAAUGUUAAGUGUUAGGGCAUCUUAAGUGUUAGGGCUAAGAGCAUAACACGUCUAUGCCAUGUCGAACACUUCAUUAUACACCCAACACCCAUAUAAAUUAAUAGAUAUUGCCACCACAGCUAAAAAAAAUUACAACUCAUCAGUAACAGACGGCGUUACUCAUUAGUUAACGGUGAGGGCUUAAUUGCCUCAUUUUUACAAAUUAU
Molecule: long non-coding RNA, 295 nt
Filed under: Vigna radiata
Lineage: Eukaryota; Viridiplantae; Streptophyta; Magnoliopsida; Fabales; Fabaceae
Description: long non-coding RNA (VRAD_LNC018165)
Source: RNAcentral